GAUGGGCAUGGUGGUAUAUGUCUCUAAUCCCAGCUACCAGUGAGGCUGAAACUGGUGUAUCCUUGGAGCUCUGGAGUUCUGAGCUGCAGUGAGCUAAGCCAAUAGGUAUCUGCAUUAAUGGUGACCCCACCUCUAAUCCCUCAGGACGUGAAGAGAGUCACUAGGUUGCUUAAGGGAGGGCAAACUGGCCUAUAUUGGAAACAGAGCAAGUGAAAGCUUCUGUGCCAAUCAAUGAGAUCAGGCCUAUGAGUAGCCCCUACGCUUCCAGCCUAGGUGAGAUAGGGAAACCAAGUUUCUA
This 298-nucleotide signal recognition particle RNA is filed under the name Vombatus ursinus (common wombat). RNAcentral's name for it is "Metazoan signal recognition particle RNA (ENSVURG00010002794.1)". It matches the Rfam family "Metazoan signal recognition particle RNA". Rfam says of the family: The signal recognition particle (SRP) is a universally conserved ribonucleoprotein. It is involved in the co-translational targeting of proteins to membranes. Lineage: Eukaryota; Metazoa; Chordata; Mammalia; Diprotodontia; Vombatidae. The record is from Rfam by way of RNAcentral.